This 27-nucleotide non-coding RNA is filed under the name Bombyx mori (domestic silkworm). Lineage: Eukaryota; Metazoa; Arthropoda; Insecta; Lepidoptera; Bombycidae. The record is from RNAcentral.
UAUCGAUUGAAUGCGGCCAAUUGGAGU